This 285-nucleotide ribosomal RNA is filed under the name Actinomycetes bacterium. Its description in RNAcentral is "Actinobacteria bacterium partial 16S ribosomal RNA". It matches the Rfam family "Bacterial small subunit ribosomal RNA", at positions 223 to 520 of the family's 1533-position model. The record is from RNAcentral. Lineage: Bacteria; Bacillati; Actinomycetota; Actinomycetes.
GGAUGAGCCCGCGGCCUAUCAGCUUGUUGGUGAGGUAAUGGCUCACCAAGGCGACGACGGGUAGCCGGCCUGAGAGGGCGACCGGCCACACUGGGACUGAGACACGGCCCAGACUCCUACGGGAGGCAGCAGUGGGGAAUAUUGCACAAUGGGCGAAAGCCUGAUGCAGCGACGCCGCGUGAGGGAUGACGGCCUUCGGGUUGUAAACCUCUUUCAGCAGGGAAGAAGCGAAAGUGACGGUACCUGCAGAAGAAGCGCCGGCUAACUACGUGCCAGCAGCCGCGG